AGACAGCAGCAGCCGCGGUAAUACGUAGGGUGCGAGCGUUAAUCGGUAUUAUUGGGCGUAAAGCGAGUGUAGACGGUUAUUUAAGCCAGAUGUGAAAUACCCGAGCCUAACUUGGGAGGUGCAUAUGGAACUGGGUAGCUAGAGUGUGUCAGAGGGAGGUAGAACUCCACGUGUAGCAGUGGAAUGCGUAGAGAUGUGGAAGGAUACCAAUGGCGAAGGCAGCCUCCUGGGAUAACACUGACGUUGAGGCUCGAAAGCGUGGGGAGCAAACAGGAUUAGAUACCCCUGUAGUCCCUGUCUCUUAUAC
Molecule: ribosomal RNA, 307 nt
Filed under: uncultured bacterium
Lineage: Bacteria
Description: partial 16S ribosomal RNA
Rfam family: Bacterial small subunit ribosomal RNA
Source: RNAcentral